This is an RNA transcript of Osmerus eperlanus (European smelt), 1646 nucleotides long. It is a transcript of the gene named cartilage intermediate layer protein 2-like, with no coding region annotated. The transcript has 10 exons. Lineage: Eukaryota; Metazoa; Chordata; Actinopteri; Osmeriformes; Osmeridae. The record is from RefSeq and is a predicted model, not a curated record.
AACCAGACAAACUUUUAACCACGGGGGGUGAAGGGGGGGCCAGUGCCCCUGUCACAACAAGCUUGGACCCCCGUGUGGUUCCUAUAAAUGUCGAUUCUGAAUCAUUGUUAACAUUAUUAUCUUUUCCAUGUUAAUGCCUGCAAUGCAGUCAAGAAUACUAUAUUCCAACAAUAAUGUAACUGGCCCCUCUAAAAAGUACAACUGGCCCCAGCUUGGUCCCACAAGUUGAAAUUGACUAAAAACUCCCCUGUGUUCUAGUUGUGUUUGAGUAAUCAGAAGCUUGUGACCCUCUCCAUUCCACACCAUGACAUUCACAGGUGCAAUAUAAAAGGGCAUCUACUGACAAUUCAAACACAGAUAGAACAGCAGGCUCUCCUUCCCCUUGUUUGUUUCUUUCAGAGUUUUUCAACUCAAUUAAGAGGUGCAGCUAAAUCUUGCUGCUGGCCAACAUGAUCCAUUUGCUGGUCUUUGCUUUGGUCUCAGGACUGCUUGUGAGCUCUGUGACCCCUAAAGACCUUAAGCACGAUCCAGACGAUCCAGACCAUCCACCCCAUCCACACCAUCCACCCCAUCCACACCAUCCACCCCAUCCACACCAUCCACCCCAUCCACAACAUCCACCCCAUCCACACCAUCCACCCCAUCCACACCAUCCACCCCAUCCAGACCAUCCACCCCAUCCACACCAUCCACACCAUCCACCCCAUCCACACCAUCCACACCAUCCAGACCAUCCACAUCAUCCAGACCAUCCACCCCAUCCACAACAUCCACAACAUCCACCCCAUCCAUGCCAUCCACACCAUCCACAUCAUCCAGACCAUCCAGACCCUCAAGACCAUCCUAUCGACCCCAUAAAACCAAGUAACACUUACUUCAGCACACUUACAUGGUACACUGAUAAUGUUAACGUGUGUCUGGUACAUCAACUUUAAUUGGCUUUUCUUUUGCUCGGCAGUUCCCUUGCAUGAUUUUACAAACAUCAGUGAAGUGCUGGACGGAGUGGUUUGACAGGGACAACCCCACUGGGUCUGGAGACUAUGAGACCCUCGUGAAGCUCCGCUCAGAGAACCCUGGAAAGAUCUGUCGCAAUCCUGUACAGAUAGAGGUCACCACUACCAGUGGAGGGACUCUCCCUACUGGGAAUAUUAUUGCGACAAUGGACACAAUCACAGGCUUUGUCUGUAAAAAUGCAGACCAGCUUCCGCACAAACCACGCUGUUUCGACUACCGUGUCCGGUUCAGCUGUCACCCACCAUUUUGUGCAUCAUCAGGAGUGUGCUGGACCAAGUGGUUUGAUCGUGACGACCCUAGUGGGACAGGGGACUGGGAAACCCUUAGUAACCUCCAUCAAGAGAACCCUGGAGUCAUCUGUGCUCAACCCCUCUACAUAGAGAGCGUCGUCGUGGGAACCAACACCCCUGCCUGGGGGCAGAAUUUCCUCUACUACAAUCCAACCCAGGGCUUCGUCUGCCGCAAUCAGGAUCAGAAAGGCAAACCUUGUCUUGAUUACAAAGUGAGAUUUGCGUGCCCAUGUGGUUGCCCAUGUGGUUGCUCAUCUGGUUGCUAAUUCACUGUGAAGCUAUAUGGGUCUCAAAGUUGAUAAAUGGAAAUCUGGACUUAAUAAACAGGCUUUUUAGUUCAAA